CCUACGGGAGGCAGCAGUGGGGAAUCUUGCGCAAUGGGCGAAAGCCUGACGCAGCAACGCCGCGUGCGGGAUGAAGGCCUUCGUGGUUGUAAACCGCUUUCAGCAGGGACGAAAAUGACGGUACCUGCAGAAGAAGCCCCGGCUAACUACGUGCCAGCAGCCGCGGUAAUACGUAGGGGGCAAGCGUUGUCCGGAAUCAUUGGGCGUAAAGAGCUCGUAGGCGGUUCAGUAAGUCAGGUGUGAAAGCUCCGAGCUCAACUCGGAGAGGCCACCUGAUACUGCUGUGACUAGAAUCCAGUAGGGGAGUGUGGAACUCCUGGUGUAGCGGUGAAAUGCGCAGAUAUCAGGAAGAACACCAGCGGCGAAGGCGGCACUCUGGGCUGGAAUUGACGCUGAGGAGCGAAAGUGUGGGUAGCAAACAGGAUUAGAUACCCUGGUAGUCCACACCGUAAACGUUGGGCACUAGGUGUGGGGAGGAUCAACCCUUUCCGUGCCGUAGCUAACGCAUUAAGUGCCCCGCCUGGGGAGGUACGGCCGCGAGACGUAAACUACGAAGAAGUAGACGCGNGAGACGUGCCGACGACGACGACGAGGGAGUAGG
RNAcentral lists this ribosomal RNA (601 nucleotides) under uncultured bacterium. RNAcentral describes it as "bacterial SSU rRNA". The stretch from base 1 to 521 matches the Rfam family "Bacterial small subunit ribosomal RNA", at positions 338 to 873 of the family's 1533-position model. The record is from RNAcentral.